GGCAGAAUGUUAGCAUUAAAAUUGCAGAAGCACUAGGGACUUUCAGUGAGCUUUGAAUGAAUGUUGAGCACAUGGGUACUUGAAUCCCUCUCCUUAUUUAUAUACUUUGACCUUCUGGUGCUCCUUUCUGUUUCUCCUGUAAUCCACCUACUAAUUCCUUCAUUACUAUUUAUGCUGUGAAAACAUGGCAGGCUGCACUUCUGUUGCAGCCCUGAGGUACCUCAAAGGAAUGCCUAGGGCUCCACAGAGCACUAUCUAAUCCAAUUCCCAUUCCCUCUUUUAUAGAUACAAAAGCUGAUGCCCAGAAAGGAUGAAUGACUUAACCUAAGACAUCACAGGCCGUCUGGAGAAGAGCUGAAAUCGCAACUCUGGUCUUUUGGCCAUAUUCAGUGCUUUAUACUUCAGUUUUACAGU
Molecule: long non-coding RNA, 414 nt
Filed under: Homo sapiens (human)
Lineage: Eukaryota; Metazoa; Chordata; Mammalia; Primates; Hominidae
Description: non-protein coding lnc-RTN4IP1-3:1
Source: RNAcentral